Molecule: ribosomal RNA, 253 nt
Filed under: uncultured bacterium
Lineage: Bacteria
Description: partial 16S ribosomal RNA
Rfam family: Bacterial small subunit ribosomal RNA
Source: RNAcentral
UACGUAGGGCGCGAGCGUUAAUCGGAAUUACUGGGCGUAAAGCGUGCGCAGGCGGUUUUGUAAGACAGGGGUGAAAUCCCCGGGCUCAACCUGGGAAUGGCGCUUGUGACUGCAAGGCUGGAGUGCGGCAGAGGGGGAUGGAAUUCCGCGUGUAGCAGUGAAAUGCGUAGAUAUGCGGAGGAACCCCGAUGGCGAAGGCAAUCCCCUGGGCCUGCACUGACGCUCAUGCAAGAAAGCGUGGGGAGCAAACAGG